GCCAGACUCCUACGGGAGGCAGCAGUGGGGAAUAUUGGGCAAUGGGCGCAAGCCUGACCCAGCAACGCCGCGUGAAGGAAGAAGGCUUUCGGGUUGUAAACUUCUUUUGACAGGGAAGAGCAGAAGACGGUACCUGUCGAAUAAGCCACGGCUAACUACGUGCCAGCAGCCGCGGCAAUACGUAGGUGGCAAGCGUUGUCCGGAUUUACUGGGUGUAAAGGGCGUGUAGCCGGGCUUACAAGUCAGAUGUGAGAUCCGGGGGCUCAACCCCCGAACUGCAUUUGAAACUGUAGGUCUUGAGUAUCGGAGAGGCAGGCGGAAUUCCUAGUGUAGCGGUGAAAUGCGUAGAUAUUAGGAGGAACACCAGUGGCGAAGGCGGCCUGCUGGACGACAACUGACGGUGAGGCGCGAAAGCGUGGGGAGCAAACAGGAUUAGAUACCCCCGUA
This 447-nucleotide ribosomal RNA is filed under the name uncultured bacterium. RNAcentral's name for it is "bacterial SSU rRNA". It matches the Rfam family "Bacterial small subunit ribosomal RNA", at positions 330 to 792 of the family's 1533-position model. The record is from RNAcentral.